RNAcentral lists this long non-coding RNA (1763 nucleotides) under Marmota monax (woodchuck). Lineage: Eukaryota; Metazoa; Chordata; Mammalia; Rodentia; Sciuridae. The record is from RNAcentral.
UGGGGCAACCAGAGUGCAUUCUGGGAAACCACCGAAGGGAGGGGCUGCCGGGAAGUGAGCGAUUCCAGGCUGGCUUUGCAGGAGGGUGGGCAGAAGCAGGAGACCAGCGCCCCCAGCACAGACCCGGCCAAGGACGUGCAGUAGCAGGGUGAGGGUCCCCCUCUCAGAAGGUCAUUCCAGGGACACAGACCAGCAGAGCCCAAUGGGAAGGCACGACAGGGAGGUGACCGCUAUGACCACAUGGACCUGGAAAACAGUGAAGGCUGAGUUCCCCUCCCGUGCAUUCCGAGCACUGCCCAGCUCCACGGCUGAGCUGGCCUUUAAACAGGGUGACUCCUGCCCCCAGGUCCAGCUUGUGCCCAGCUCCCUGAGGAAAUGGGCUGUGCCAGGGGCUGGAUGGUGGCUGGGCUGAAGCUAGAGGAGGCACCGAGGCUGGAGGGAGGGAGGCCCGCGGGAAGUGACUGGUGGUGACCUGCCAGAUUCCCGCCUCCCUGGGGCCCUGUGCCAGGCAGGAACGAGCAUCGCCCCACUCUGCAGGGGGAAAACUGAGGCCCUCUCCCUCCAGCUGGGCGGCGGGUUUCCUAGCCCUGCUCCCCCCAGCCAGGCUCGGCCGGAAGACGGUGGCCCAGGCAGCCCCGCGGGGGGCAGGGAGGUGGGGAGGGGCCCAGCCAAACCGCAGAACAGGAUUUCUCAGAACUUACAGUACGUGGGGAGAGGAGGCCGGGGCUGCCCCAGGACCUUCGCAGGGCGGAGAGACCGUGCAAUGGGCCCGCGGCAGUGACCUCGGGGGAGGGACUCCGGCCACACCUCCUCCACGAGGACUCGGCCCCACGUCGGGGCACGGGGGGGGGGGGGGGGCACAGGGACAGACGCCAGGGGGUCCCUGCACGGCCAGGCUCGUGCUCACGCUCACAGAUGCGUGCGUUUCACGCAGGAGCUCCGAGAACACACCCGUGUCCGCGUUCCCGCGCCGCCGCCCCGCACACGCCCAUCUGAGCGCACGGCCCGCGCGUGCGCACCCGGCCGCCAGCCACAGCCCGUCGCUGGCGCGUCCAGGCGCUUGGACCUGGUGAUCCGAGCACACAGUCCAGGCUGGGAGGGGUCCCUCAUCCCCAGGGCCGUGUCCAGGCUGAGACUCAAGAAGGGACCACCUCCUUCCACCCCCCUGGGCAUUCUGCACCCACCUUCGCCACCUCUCUGUCCCUCUCCCAGAUGCCCCUCCGCCUUCUGGGCAGGGCACGCUCCCUGCAUUAUUUUAAGAGGUGAAAGUCACAGAAGGUAAAAUGAACCGCGCCAAGGUGCACAUUCACGAGGCUCUGCAACCACCUCCGACUCCAGAACAUCUUCAUCACCCCAAAACCAAGCCCGUCCAAUCCGCAGCCCCACCUGCACCCGGAUCCUCUCCUCCCCCAGCCCCUCCGCAACCACCACCUGCUCUCUCCAGGGAUCUGCCUGUUGGGAAUAUUUCAUAUACAUGGAUUUAGACAACGUGCGACCUGUUGUGACUGGCUUUCUUCAGUGACUCACUUUUCUAGUUCCCACUUUAAGUGUCACCUCCUCAGAAGGACCUUCCCUGAUCUGCCCAGCACCUGAACACCCAGCCUCCUGCUCGGGGGCUCAAAGCCCUCAGCAUUUGACAUUAUCCUGAUCAUUUCUUUUGUGCACAGGAAGGUUAUCCACUUCCUUUGCAAAAGUGAGAAAGGGGUUUCAUUCUCUCGAGGAAGUCGUGAGUGAUUAGAUGAGGAAUGAAUAAAAGAAUCAUG